UGUUACUGGCUCUUGUUGGAUAACUGUAAAGCACAAAAAAGGCAAGAAUACAGAUGGGAAACCUAAAGAGAUGAUCCAUUUACAUCCUCAAGAAGACAACAGUGUAAAGCCUCAGACACUGCAAACCAAUCAGGAAGACAGCAGUGCCCUUCCUUGACAAAGUACCAGAGCUGGGGAACACCUUGAAUCACAAUGUUGUUGGAAAGGAGCCUAUUCAACAGAGUAAGAUGUGAGACUCAUACAAUGACAGACGUGACCUCGCAGAGACCAGACAUGUGCCCAAGAAGAUGCUGACACGCUCCCAGGAGCCCGUAAAAUCUCCCUCCUCUUAGCCUGGAUUACUGUCAGUCCUCUUGCCCUCCGCUGCUGAAUGCACACCUCAGCUAGUAAGGGGAAAAGACUGCACUCAGGGUUUAUAAAUAGUCUCAGUUACGUAAAGGAAGACGGUGUCACUUUGGAUUUCUGUUUACACAUUUGUGAUUUCCCUUUCUCACUUUCAAAUAAAUGUUCAUACUAUGGAAUGGGCUCAUUAACGAGAGGAUCAAAAUCCAGGAGGAAGAUAUGAAAAACAAAUGAGUCACACAUAAUUAUACUCUUCAGUGAUAACCACUGUUAAUAUUUUGAUUUUUUGCUAACCUUUCUUCAUACAUGUUUGGUUCUUUAUACACAUAUCUUUCUUAACAGUCACUUUUUCUUCUGUAGAGCAAAAUCUAUUAGAACAGAAAAAUAUAGCUAGAUCCGUUUUUGCUAUCACUAGGAAAAAAGUAUUUUCUGUUUAUUAUAUACAAUGCUGAAGCAACCACAGUGUCUUCUGUUUAGACAGAAGGGGGAGAGGUUUUCAAGAGAAACAUCUUAAACAAUGAGAUCUGGGUAUUUCCUAAGCUCUAUUUCAAAAGCAAUUUGUACUGUGUGUCUAAAACAUACUAACUUAAAUAAAAGGAUAAUUUUAUUAUAAA
Molecule: long non-coding RNA, 956 nt
Organism: Lontra canadensis (Northern American river otter)
Lineage: Eukaryota; Metazoa; Chordata; Mammalia; Carnivora; Mustelidae
Exons: 3
Source: RefSeq, a predicted model, not a curated record